CGACAGCAGAGCGGGUGCUGAAAAUAUCCUGCAGGAGUCUUGUCUCACGAUGUAAUUGAGCUACGAGUAGACUCAGUAGAACCUUGGCAGUGCUGAGAAACAGCAGAAAGAAGGCCAAGCUUCUCCUAACACUCCUCUGAAGACAGAGGACCUGACUCUCCUGAACUGUUCUGGCCCAUCCUUCCCAAGGGCGCGUGUGUUUCUUCAGUGCAGUCACAGACAGAGCUCAUAGGUCCAAUGCUCAAAGGCCAAAGGCCAUGCAAGUGGUGAGAUGACAUGCGUCCACUGCGGCAGUAAAAACACCCAUGGGUAAAAAUUCUUGCUGUGUGUGACCUGAGGCGAGGCACCGGCUCUUUGUUUUUACUGGGUGAGCUUGCGUUUUGUUUUUGUAAACAUACAGAGUCUUGAUGCCAUGCUAGACAGGGUCUUUGUAUAUGAUGUAUUUGUUCCAGUUGAAACAGAAAAACAAAACCAAACAUAAAACGGAAAAGCAC
Molecule: long non-coding RNA, 494 nt
Filed under: Rattus norvegicus (Norway rat)
Lineage: Eukaryota; Metazoa; Chordata; Mammalia; Rodentia; Muridae
Description: long non-coding RNA NONRATT032714
Source: RNAcentral